CAGUAAGGCAAAUAAGCAAGGUAAAUUAGUAAGGCAAAUCAGUAAGGUAAAGCCAGCAAGAUAAAUUCAAUAAGGUAAAUCAGUAAGGUAAGUCCAUAAGGUAAAUCAGUAAGGUAAGUCCAUAAGGUAAAUCAGUAAGGUAAGUCCAUAAGGUAAAUCAGUAAGGUAAGUCCAUAAGGUAAAUCAGUAAGGUAAGUCCAUAAGGUAAAUCAGAAAGGUAAGUCCAUAAGGUA
Eriocheir sinensis (Chinese mitten crab) is the source of this 233-nucleotide long non-coding RNA. RefSeq lists it as uncharacterized. The transcript has 3 exons. The record is from RefSeq and is a predicted model, not a curated record. Lineage: Eukaryota; Metazoa; Arthropoda; Malacostraca; Decapoda; Varunidae.